RNAcentral lists this ribosomal RNA (253 nucleotides) under uncultured bacterium. Its description in RNAcentral is "partial 16S ribosomal RNA". It matches the Rfam family "Bacterial small subunit ribosomal RNA", at positions 524 to 776 of the family's 1533-position model. The record is from RNAcentral.
GACAGAGGUGCCAAGCGUUAGGCGGAAUCACUGGGCUUAAAGCGUGUGUAGGCGGACUUGUAAGUACCUUGUGAAAUCCCACGGCUCAACCGUGGAACUGCUCGGUAUACUGCUUGUCUUGAGCCACUUAGGGGCUGUCGGAACAAAUGGUGGAGCGGUGAAAUGCGUAGAUAUCAUUUGGAACGCCAAUGGUGAAAACAGGUAGCUGGGGCUGUGCUGACACUGAGACACGAAAGCCAGGGGAGCAAACGGG